UACCAAAGAGUUAAAUUAUAUCUAUUGGUUAAAAGGUGGUUAAAUAUUACAAAGUUUAUAAAUUCUAUUAUAUAUAAGUAAAAUUUGGUUAUAAUUUAAUAUUCUUAAGUAAACUAAAAAAUUGAAUCCGCGAAAUCUUUGGAAUAAACUGGGAUUGGAUACCCCAUUAUUCUUAGAUAUAAACUGUAUAAAGAUACUUUAUUUACCAGAGUAGUAUGAACAAAGUUUUAAACUCAAAGAACUUGGCGGUGCUUUACACCUCUUAGGGGAACCUGUCUCAUAAUCGACAAUCCACGCUAGACCUUACCUUUCUUUGUAAACAAUUUGUAUACCGUUGUCGUCAGGUAACUCUUUAAGAUAUAAAAGUUAGCUAAAAAGAACUUAACUUAUACGUCAAAUCAAGGUGCAAUUUAUAGAAAGGAGAAGAUGGGUUACAAUUAUUAAUUCAUAAUUAUGAAUUAGCCAAAGAAAUUGUCUACGAAAGAGGACUUAAAAGUAAAAUUAUAAAUAUAUAAAUUAUUUGAAUAAGGCCCUGAAGCGCGC
Molecule: ribosomal RNA, 543 nt
Filed under: Heterocithara sp. NP-2008
Lineage: Eukaryota; Metazoa; Mollusca; Gastropoda; Neogastropoda; Conidae
Description: partial 12S ribosomal RNA
Source: RNAcentral